Molecule: ribosomal RNA, 468 nt
Filed under: uncultured bacterium
Lineage: Bacteria
Description: partial 16S ribosomal RNA
Rfam family: Bacterial small subunit ribosomal RNA
Source: RNAcentral
GACGAACGCUGUCGGCGUGCUUAACACAUGCAAGUCGAACGGAAAGGCCCUGCUUUUGUGGGGUGCUCGAGUGGCGAACGGGUGAGUAACACGUGAGUAACCUGCCCUUGACUUUGGGAUAACUUCAGGAAACUGGGGCUAAUCCCUGAUAGGAGCUCCUGCUGCAUGGUGGGGGUUGGAAAGUUUCGGCGGUUGGGGAUGGACUCGCGGCUUAUCAGCUUGUUGGUGGGGUAGUGGCUUACCAAGGCUUUGACGGGUAGCCGGCCUGAGAGGGUGACCGGCCACAUUGGGACGGAGAUACGGCACAGACUCCUACGGGAGGCAGCAGUGGGGAAUAUUGCACAAUGGGCGGAAGCCUGAUGCAGCAACGCCGCGUGGGGUAUGACGGCCAUCGGGUUGUAAACCGCUGUCGCCUGUGACGAAGAGUGAGUGACGGUAAUGGGUAAAGAAGCACCGGCUAACUACGUG